AACGAACGCUGGCGGUAUGCUUAACACAUGCAAGUCGAACGAAUGCCUUUGGAGCUUGCUUCAAAGUCGUUAGUGGCAAACGGGUGAGUAACACGUGGGAAUCUACCUAUCAGUACGGAAUAACAUUUGGAAACAGAUGCUAAUACCGUAUAUUCUCUUCGGAGGAAAGAUUUAUCGCUGAUAGAUGAGCCCGCGUAAGAUUAGGUAGUUGGUAGGGUAAUGGUCUACCAAGCCGACGAUCUUUAGCUGAUCUGAGAGGAUGAUCAGCCACACUGGGACUGAGACACGGCCCAGACUCCUACGGGAGGCAGCAGUGGGGAAUAUUGGACAAUGGGCGAAAGCCUGAUCCAGCAAUGCCGCGUGAGUGAUGAAGGCCUUAGGGUUGUAAAGCUCUGUUGUGUGGGAAGAAACAGCAGCUCUAACACAGUCUGCGAAUGACGGUACCUGAAGAAUAAGCACCGGCUAACUACGUGCCAG
This 477-nucleotide ribosomal RNA is filed under the name uncultured bacterium. RNAcentral describes it as "bacterial SSU rRNA". It matches the Rfam family "Bacterial small subunit ribosomal RNA", at positions 29 to 511 of the family's 1533-position model. The record is from RNAcentral.